GACGAACGCUGGCGGCGUGCUUAACACAUGCAAGUCGAACGGAAAGGCCCUGCUUGCAGGGUACUCGAGUGGCGAACGGGUGAGUAACACGUGGGUGAUCUGCCCUGCACUUCGGGAUAAGCCUGGGAAACUGGGUCUAAUACCGGAUAGGAGCCAUUUUUAGUGUGAUGGUUGGAAAGUUUUUUCGGUGUAGGAUGAGCUCGCGGCCUAUCAGCUUGUUGGUGGGGUAAUGGCCUACCAAGGCGGCGACGGGUAGCCGGCCUGAGAGGGUGGACGGCCACAUUGGGACUGAGAUACGGCCCAGACUCCUACGGGAGGCAGCAGUGGGGAAUAUUGCACAAUGGGCGCAAGCCUGAUGCAGCGACGCCGCGUGGGGGAUGACGGCCUUCGGGUUGUAAACGCCUUUCGCUAGGGACGAAGCUUUUUGUGACGGUACCUAGAUAAAAAGCACCGGCUAACUACGUG
This 465-nucleotide ribosomal RNA is filed under the name uncultured bacterium. RNAcentral describes it as "partial 16S ribosomal RNA". It matches the Rfam family "Bacterial small subunit ribosomal RNA", at positions 28 to 507 of the family's 1533-position model. The record is from RNAcentral.